GAUGAACGCUAGCGGCAGGCUUAACACAUGCAAGUCGAGGGGCAGCGCGGGAUAGCAAUAUCCUGGCGGCGACCGGCGGAAGGGUGCGUAACGCGUGAGCGACAUGCCCGUUGCCCGGGGACAACCGGUGGAAACGCCGACUAAUCCCCGAUGGGAUAUGAUGCUUCAUGGCAUUGUAUUGAAAGUUACGGCGGCGACGGAUUGGCUCGCGUCCGAUUAGCUGGUUGGCGGGGUAACGGCCCACCAAGGCUGCGAUCGGUAGGGGUUCUGAGAGGAAGGCCCCCCACAAUGGGACUGAGACACGGCCCAUACUCCUACGGGAGGCAGCAGUGAGGAAUAUUGGUCAAUGGGCGGAAGCCUGAACCAGCCAUGCCGCGUGCGGGAAGGAGGCCCUAUGGGCUGUGAACCGCUUUUGCCUGGGGGCAAUAAGGGCGUCGCGCACGUCCGAUGAGAGUACCAGGCGAAUAAGCAUCGGCUAACUCCGUG
Molecule: ribosomal RNA, 486 nt
Filed under: uncultured bacterium
Lineage: Bacteria
Description: partial 16S ribosomal RNA
Rfam family: Bacterial small subunit ribosomal RNA
Source: RNAcentral